UAAUAAGUGUUUUAUGGCACUUUUUAAAUCCAUAUCCACCUUGUGUGCAAUGUCAGUCGAUCUUCUUUUUAUGGAGGAUCGACCAAACAUCAACCUUUAUUUUUUAACUCUUUGUCUGAAAAAUAUUAUGAAUAAACAAUUCAAAAUA
RNAcentral lists this unclassified non-coding RNA (148 nucleotides) under soil metagenome. RNAcentral describes it as "partial internal transcribed spacer 1". The record is from RNAcentral.